CUCACUUUGCACAUGAUCUGUUGCUUGCACUUGGAAAUACUAAUAAAAAUCAGCCCAGGGAUCUACUAUUUGUAGUGACCGCUCACAAUAUUUUUGUUCCAGAAAGUCCUCUAUUUCCAGUGCCAGCUAACCAACUCGUCCUUUUCCAUGAGCUACAGCCGAGUUUGCGCUUCUUCCAGUGAUUAUAUCUCCUCGUGCUCUAAAAAAGGCAAACUCUGUGAAUACUGGGUUUGGUUCCUCCUCAUGUUCCAUGUCUAUUGCAAGCACUGCUAUUUUGUACCUAUUUACAUGAUGGAAUUGUGGUGAAUUGUUUGCUUGUGACACAGUUACCAAUUGAGAUGUAAUAUGGGUAAAAAAAUACCUUGGUCAUGGUUCUGGAUUGGAACAUGUAGGACAUUUCAAUGCACCAUUUUCAGCUUCUUCCAGCAAACUUUGCAUCCCAUAUAUCACCAGUCAUAGGUCAAUUUACCACAGCGAUUUCAAUCGUGAGUUUGUAGUAUCAGUUCUGUAGAAGGGUCAAAACAUAUGUUGAGGUUAAUACUUAAAAGCAUGCAUAGGUGCAACAAUGGUAAUAAGUACUUCUGUUAAUACCAUGGUGUCAGUAGGUUCUAAACUGGUCAUGUUUUUAUUAGUUGUUUCAGUUGGUUCCUGUCAC
This 655-nucleotide long non-coding RNA is filed under the name Triticum aestivum (bread wheat). Its description in RNAcentral is "long non-coding RNA (TAES_LNC028201)". Lineage: Eukaryota; Viridiplantae; Streptophyta; Magnoliopsida; Poales; Poaceae. The record is from RNAcentral.